This 253-nucleotide ribosomal RNA is filed under the name uncultured bacterium. RNAcentral's name for it is "partial 16S ribosomal RNA". It matches the Rfam family "Bacterial small subunit ribosomal RNA", at positions 524 to 776 of the family's 1533-position model. The record is from RNAcentral.
GACGAACUGUGCAAACGUUAUUCGGAAUCACUGGGCUUGAAGAGUGCGUAGGCGGUUUCGUAAGUAGGGUGUGAAAGCCCCCAGCUCAACUGGGGAGCUGCGUCCUAAACUGCGUGGCUGGAGUGAGGUAGGGGUGUGUGGAACUUCCGGUGGAGCGGUGAAAUGUGUUGAUAUCGGAAGGAACGCCGGUGGCGAAAGCGACACACUGGGCCUUGUCUGACGCUGAGGCACGAAAGCCAGGGGAGCAAACGGG